This 227-nucleotide ribosomal RNA is filed under the name uncultured Bacteroidaceae bacterium. Its description in RNAcentral is "partial 16S ribosomal RNA". It matches the Rfam family "Bacterial small subunit ribosomal RNA", at positions 383 to 607 of the family's 1533-position model. Lineage: Bacteria; Pseudomonadati; Bacteroidota; Bacteroidia; Bacteroidales; Bacteroidaceae. The record is from RNAcentral.
CUGAACCAGCCAAGUAGCGUGAAGGAUGACUGCCCUAUGGGUUGUCAACUUCUUUUAUACGGGAAUAACAUCAUCCACGUGUGGGUGCCUGCAUGUACCGUAUGCAUAAGCAUCGGCUAACUCCGUGCCAGCAGCCGCGGUAAUACGGAGGAUGCGAGCGUUAUCCGGAUUUAUUGGGUUUAAAGGGAGCGUCGGCGGGUUGUUAAGUCAGUUGUGAAAGUUUGCGG